RNAcentral lists this ribosomal RNA (663 nucleotides) under Armatimonadetes bacterium Cent15-Ar3. RNAcentral describes it as "bacterial SSU rRNA". It matches the Rfam family "Bacterial small subunit ribosomal RNA", at positions 876 to 1533 of the family's 1533-position model. The record is from RNAcentral. Lineage: Bacteria; Bacillati; Armatimonadota.
GGGACUACGGCCGCAAGGUUGAAACUCAAAUGAAUUGACGGGGACCCGCACAAGCGGUGGAGCAUGUGGUUUAAUUCGAUACUAACCGAAGAACCUUACCCAGGUUUGACAUCGAUCGCAAGAUCCCGAAAAGGAUCCCUCCCCCACAAGGGGACGUGAAGACAGAUGUUGCAUGGCUGUCGUCAGCUCGUGCCGUGAGGUGUACGGUUAAGUCCGCCAACGAGCGCAACCCACGUCCUGUGUUACCAGCGAGUAAAGUCGGGCACUCACAGGAGACCGCCGGUGUAAGCCGGAGGAAGGUGUGGAUGAUGUCAAGUCAGCAUGGCUCUUACGCCUGGGGCUACACACAUGCUACAAUGGGAGCAACAAAGGGCAGCAAUACCGCGAGGUGGAGCGAAUCCCAAAAAUACUCCCCCAGUUCAGAUUGCACUCUGCAACUCGAGUGCAUAAAGUCGGAAUCGCUAGUAAACGCAGGUCAGAUAUACUGCGUUGAAUACGUUCCCGGGUCUUGUACACACCGCCCGUCAAGUCACCUGAAUCGUCUUCACCCGAAGUACGUGGCCUAACCGCAAGGAGGGAGCGUCCGAAGGUGAGGGGGGUAAGGGGGACUAAGUCGUAACAAGGUACCCGUACCGGAAGGUGUGGGUGGAUCACCUCCUUAAA